RNAcentral lists this ribosomal RNA (478 nucleotides) under uncultured bacterium. Its description in RNAcentral is "partial 16S ribosomal RNA". It matches the Rfam family "Bacterial small subunit ribosomal RNA", at positions 28 to 523 of the family's 1533-position model. The record is from RNAcentral.
GACGAACGCUGGCGGCGUGCUUAACACAUGCAAGUCGAACGGUAAGGCCCUUCGGGGUACACGAGUGGCGAACGGGUGAGUAACACGUGGGUGAUCUGCCCUGCACUUCGGGAUAAGCCUGGGAAACUGGGUCUAAUACCGGAUAGGACCCCCGGCCUCAUGGUUGGGGGUGGAAAGGUUUUGCGGUGUGGGAUGGGCCCGCGGCCUAUCAGCUUGUUGGUGGGGUAAUGGCCUACCAAGGCGACGACGGGUAGCCGGCCUGAGAGGGUGACCGGUCACACUGGGACUGAGAUACGGCCCAGACUCCUACGGGAGGCAGCAGUGGGGAAUAUUGCACAAUGGGCGCAAGCCUGAUGCAGCGACGCCGCGUGAGGGAUGACGGCCUUCGGGUUGUAAACCUCUUUCAGCUAUGACGAAGCGCAAGUGACGGUAGUAGCAGAAGAAGGACCGGCCAACUACGUGCCAGCAGCCGCCGCGG